Molecule: long non-coding RNA, 1085 nt
Organism: Anneissia japonica
Lineage: Eukaryota; Metazoa; Echinodermata; Crinoidea; Comatulida; Comatulidae
Exons: 3
Source: RefSeq, a predicted model, not a curated record
GUUAAAAUAUAGUUUUUAUUUUAACGUAUAAGCAACAUUUAAAAUAAGUUGUGUUUUCAACCCGGAGUUUAAGAUUUUACCAAAUUUUAUUUCAACAAUGAAUUAACUUUGAAAUCAGGUUGCGAUUUUAACAUAACAAUUGCAAUAGGCCUAUAUUUAUUCAAUAUUUUUCCAACGUUAACUUUAAAUAUAGUUUUUAUUUCAAUGUAGAAUCAACAUUGAAAAUGUGUUAUGUGUUUCUACAAAGUAGGCCUACCCAUUAUUUACUCAACAUUAUUUCAACAAUAAAAACGUUGAAAACUGGUUGAGAUAUGAAAAUCACAGUAAUAACAUAAAUUUCAACAUCUUUUCAAUGUCAAAUUAAAAUGUAGUUUGUAUUUUAACGUAUAAUCAACAUUUAGAAUGUUAUUUUUUUCAACCAAGUUUAAAUUUCUUUAACUCAACCUCAACUUGAUAUGAAAUUUCAUAGAAAUAAUUGUACAAGAUCUAUUAAAGUUUAACUCCAUGGUGGUGUAUAAAAAAACUCAUAGGCCUAUUAUGAGAGCAUAUAUGAUCUUUAAUCAUUAUGGUAAUUACAUUGGUUCUCUGUCCUUGAAAGUGUGGCAAGUAAUGGGCUAAUCGGAUUAGGUCAUUAGGUACAGACCAAUCAGAAACAAAUGCUCAUUUUUUGAAGUAUCAUCAGUUGCUGUAAAGCUGUUUUCAUACACAGUUUACAUACUAAAGAAUUUCAGCAUUAUCAAAUAAAUGGUUUUCAAUCCAUUGACAGAAAGCCAUGUUGGUUGCAAUAUUGUUUGUGGUAGACACUGGAAAAAAACCCACUAUUGAAUGUGUAUUUAUUUUGCCUCUUGGUACAAAACUGAUGGAAGAGCAGCCAUGAUGAAGCAGUAAAGGUUCUUGGAUACCUUGCUUCAAUACCUCUGGUCGGACAAGAAAAGACUUGGCUAAGGAGUAGAGCUUCAAAUAAUUUAUCACCAAGAAAGUUACUGAUUUAAACCGAAACCUGUAACGCGAAAGAUUCUUAAUUAAGCUAAGUGGACGUGCAAUAGUAGCUGUUGUUAUAUUACAAAAACUCUGAUUUAUACAUG